GUCUACAGCCAUACCACCCUGAACAUGCCCGAUCUCAUCUGAUGUUAGAAGCUAAGCAGGGUCAGGCCUGGUUAGUACUUGGAUGGGAGGAAUACAGAGAGCAGGGGGCAGUGGGUG
Molecule: ribosomal RNA, 117 nt
Organism: Gorilla gorilla gorilla (western lowland gorilla)
Lineage: Eukaryota; Metazoa; Chordata; Mammalia; Primates; Hominidae
Source: Ensembl